Molecule: ribosomal RNA, 230 nt
Filed under: uncultured microorganism
Description: partial 16S ribosomal RNA
Rfam family: Bacterial small subunit ribosomal RNA
Source: RNAcentral
UACGGAGGGUGCAAGCGUUGUUCGGAAUUACUGGGCGUAAAGGGUGUGCAGGCGGCUAGGUAAGUCCUAUGUGAAAUCCCUCGGCUCAACCGAGGACGUGCAUCGGAUACUGCUUAGCUUGAGUCUCGGAGAGGGGGGUGGAAUUCCCGGUGUAGAGGUGAAAUUCGUAGAUAUCGGGAGGAACACCAGUGGCGAAGGCGACCCCCUGGACGAUGACUGACGCUGAUACA